This 323-nucleotide unclassified non-coding RNA is filed under the name Hevea brasiliensis (rubber tree). The record is from RNAcentral. Lineage: Eukaryota; Viridiplantae; Streptophyta; Magnoliopsida; Malpighiales; Euphorbiaceae.
UCGACCGUAUUGACGGGUUCGAGCAAUGCGCCGUCCCGGAUUCCCGGUCCGCCGCCGCGAACGUCCGCGGAAGCGACGGCGGCCUUGUCGAAGAUCACUGCCGUCACGCCGGAUGCGAUGGUUGCAUCAUGGGCGUGGCCGACGCGGACGCCGGGGAUGUCGGUGAGCAGAUUCUUCAUAUUUCUUCUCUUUCCCGGUCACGCCCGAUCACAACAAACGGAAGGACAGAGGCCGGAGCUUGCAUAGCAUAUGGGCGACAGUGCAAUAAGCGGCAUGAUCCAGGACGUUUCCAUUCCCGCCGCGCUCGCGGCCGGUAUCAUCAG